Molecule: ribosomal RNA, 327 nt
Filed under: uncultured eukaryote
Lineage: Eukaryota
Description: partial 18S ribosomal RNA
Rfam family: Eukaryotic small subunit ribosomal RNA
Source: RNAcentral
CCCUUAGAUGUUCUGGGCCGCACGCGCGCUACACUGAUUCAUGCAACAAGUUUUGUCCUUGGCUGAUAGGCCUGGGUAAUCUUUGAACGUGAAUCGUGAUGGGGAUAGAUGAUUGCAAUUAUUCAUCUUCAACGAGGAGUUCCUAGUAAACGCAAGUCAUCAGCUUGCAUUGAUUACGUCCCUGCCCUUUGUACACACCGCCCGUCGCACCUACCGAUUGAAUGGUCCGGUGAAAUCUUCGGAUCUGAGAGAUGUCUGAUUAAUUUCGGACGCCUUUUGGAAAAGUUGCUUAAACCUUACCAUUUAGAGGAAGGUGAAGUCGUAACA